This 19-nucleotide transfer RNA is filed under the name Prepodesma orpenii. RNAcentral describes it as "partial tRNA-Leu". Lineage: Eukaryota; Viridiplantae; Streptophyta; Magnoliopsida; Caryophyllales; Aizoaceae. The record is from RNAcentral.
CAAGGUCCCUCUAUCCCCA